This 195-nucleotide transfer-messenger RNA is filed under the name Prochlorococcus marinus str. NATL1A. RNAcentral's name for it is "transfer-messenger RNA Proch_marin_NATL1A". It matches the Rfam family "Cyanobacteria transfer-messenger RNA", at positions 99 to 288 of the family's 288-position model. Rfam says of the family: Bacterial tmRNA, also known as 10Sa RNA or SsrA, is named for its dual tRNA and mRNA-like properties. Its role is to liberate the mRNA from a stalled ribosome. The record is from RNAcentral. Lineage: Bacteria; Bacillati; Cyanobacteriota; Cyanophyceae; Synechococcales; Prochlorococcaceae.
GGGGCUGCAAUGGUUUCGACGGGGUAUCAGGAGAGUGACUGAAGCCUGCUCGGUCAGAGCAAAACCAUAACUGCUAACAACAUCGUUAGUUUCUCCCGUCAAACAGCCCCUGUUGCUGCUUGAUCUUUUAGGAGAUGGGGUCAGGUCAUCCUUAUUACCCAAUUGAUCCACGAGGCCUGCAAGGGCCUCACUCUC